UGCAAGUCGAGCGGCAGCGCGGGGCAACCUGGCGGCGAGCGGCGAACGGGUGAGUAAUGUAUCGGAACGUACCCAGUCGUGGGGGAUAACUAUCCGAAAGGAUAGCUAAUACCGCAUACGUCCUGAGGGAGAAAGCGGGGGACCGUAAGGCCUCGCGCGAUUGGAGCGGCCGAUAUCGGAUUAGCUAGUUGGUGAGGUAAAGGCUCACCAAGGCGACGAUCCGUAGCUGGUCUGAGAGGACGACCAGCCACACUGGAACUGAGACACGGUCCAGACUCCUACGGGAGGCAGCAGUGGGGAAUUUUGGACAAUGGGGGCAACCCUGAUCCAGCCAUUCCGCGUGAGUGAAGAAGGCCUUCGGGUUGUAAAGCUCUUUCAGCAGGAACGAAACGGUGGCCCCUAAUACGGGCUACUAAUGACGGUACCUGAAGAAGAAGCACCGGCUAACUACGUGCCAGCAGCCGCGGUAAUACGUAGGGUGCGAGCGUUAAUCGGAAUUACUGGGCGUAAAGCGUGCGCAGGCGGUUCUAUAAGACAGAUGUGAAAUCCCCGGGCUUAACCUGGGAACUGCGUUUGUGACUGUAGGACUCGAGUGUGGCAGAGGGGGGUGGAAUUCCACGUGUAGCAGUGAAAUGCGUAGAGAUGUGGAGGAACACCGAUGG
Molecule: ribosomal RNA, 662 nt
Filed under: uncultured bacterium
Lineage: Bacteria
Description: bacterial SSU rRNA
Rfam family: Bacterial small subunit ribosomal RNA
Source: RNAcentral